GACGAGCGCUGGCGGCGUGCCUAAUACAUGCAAGUAGAACGCUGAAGGAGGAGCUUGCUUCUCUGGAUGAGUUGCGAACGGGUGAGUAACGCGUAGGUAACCUGCCUGGUAGCGGGGGAUAACUAUUGGAAACGAUAGCUAAUACCGCAUAAUAGUAGAUGUUGCAUGACAUUUGCUUAAAAGGUGCAAUUGCAUCACUACCAGAUGGACCUGCGUUGUAUUAGCUAGUUGGUGGGGUAACGGCUCACCAAGGCGACGAUACAUAGCCGACCUGAGAGGGGGAUCGGCCACCCUGGGACUGAGACACGGCCCAGACUCCUACGGGAGGAAGCAGUAGGGAAUCGUCGGCAAUGGACGGAAGUCUGACCGAGCAACGCCGCGUGAGUGAAGAAGGUUUUCGGAUCGUAAAGCUCUGUUGUAAGAGAAGAACGAGUGUGAGAGUGGAAAGUUCACACUGUGACGGUAUCUUACCAGAAAGGGACGGCUAACUACGUG
This 495-nucleotide ribosomal RNA is filed under the name uncultured bacterium. RNAcentral describes it as "partial 16S ribosomal RNA". It matches the Rfam family "Bacterial small subunit ribosomal RNA", at positions 28 to 507 of the family's 1533-position model. The record is from RNAcentral.